AUUGAACGCUGGCGGCAGGCCUAACACAUGCAAGUCGAGCGAGCGGCGGACGGGUGAGUAAUGUCUGGGAAACUGCCUGAUGGAGGGGGAUAACUACUGGAAACGGUAGCUAAUACCGCAUACCAUCAGAUGUGCCCAGAGGGGAUUAGCUAGUAGGUGGGGUAAUGGCGCACCUAGGCGACGAUCCCUAGCUGGUCUGAGAGGAGGACCAGGCCCACUGGAACGUAGACACGGUCCAGACUCCUACGGGAGGCAGCAGUGGGGAAUAUUGCACAAUGGGCGCAAGCCGUAUGCAGCCAGGCCGCGGGUGUGAAGAAGGCCUUCGGGUUGUAAAGCACUUUCAGCGGGGAGGCGUUACCCGCAGAAGAAGCACCGGCUAACUCCGUGCCAGCAGCCGCGGUAAUAC
RNAcentral lists this ribosomal RNA (406 nucleotides) under uncultured bacterium. RNAcentral's name for it is "partial 16S ribosomal RNA". It matches the Rfam family "Bacterial small subunit ribosomal RNA", at positions 29 to 526 of the family's 1533-position model. The record is from RNAcentral.